GAUGAACGCUAGCUACAGGCUUAACACAUGCAAGUCGAGGGGCAGCGGGAAUCUAGCUUGCUAGAUUUGCCGGCGACCGGCGCACGGGUGAGUAACACGUAUCCAACCUGGCCCAUACUCGGGUAUAGCCUCUCGAAAGGGAGAUUAAUCCCCGAUGUUGUUGUUUCACCGCAUGGUGUAUCAACCAAAGAAUUUCGGUAUGGGAUGGGGAUGCGUUCCAUUAGCUUGUUGGCGGGGUAACGGCCCACCAAGGCUACGAUCAGUAGCCGGACUGAGAGGUUGGCCGGCCACAUUGGGACUGAGACACGGCCCAGACUCCUACGGGAGGCAGCAGUGGGGAAUAUUGGGCAAUGGGCGCAAGCCUGACCCAGCAACGCCGCGUGAAGGAAGAAGGCUUUCGGGUUGUAAACUUCUUUUGUCAGGGACGAAUAAUUGACGGUACCUGACGAAUAAGCCACGGCUAACUACGUG
This 471-nucleotide ribosomal RNA is filed under the name uncultured bacterium. RNAcentral's name for it is "bacterial SSU rRNA". It matches the Rfam family "Bacterial small subunit ribosomal RNA", at positions 28 to 507 of the family's 1533-position model. The record is from RNAcentral.